UUUACCUUGCUGCCAGGCCAUGAUCCAUCGGGCUAACCACUGAUUACAUCUGUGUUCCUAAUAACUCAUCCUGGGAGAAGAAAUUCACCCAGCUCUCUGAAGCAGUGCCUCAGUUCUCCUGGUUAUCUCCAAACUAAUAAAGCAAACCGAUACUCCUAAUGUGGAGUUUGCACCUCUACCAGAGACAUUUGUCCUUGCUGAGACUACAGCUGUGUGUGCCCCAUGCAGACCCACCACUGCAGACAUUUUCCCUGGAGGAAAAGAAGUAUGAUUCCCAGGAAGGGUAACCUCUGCCACCUUCACUGUGAGCUCACUAAGCUUUGCUCUGCAGGAAGAACAAUUAAAUGCUGACAUCCCUAUGUCACCCGAGUCAGAGGGUGCUUAUGACUGAACUGUAAAUACAAGACCUACAGCCAUCACAUCCCACAGGAAGUGCUACUUCUCUUGAGUGACUUGCUAUCUCAUGUGUCUUGGCCAGAACUCUUCCAUGGCUUCUCUGAUCACCCGGAAUAAGAAUUUUUCUUCUAGGACAUGCUAACUAGAGAAUGGCCUCUCGGGGGAAUCCAUGUACUGCUGAAGCACCUGAACAAAAAGCAUCAUUUCCAUAUCAGUGCUAUUAGAAGGAUACCAUCCUCAUGAACAGGCAAGUGCUUGCAUACUCUUGGUUGCAUACUCUGCAUGAGGAACAUUGUUAAAGUGCAAUUGUCAGGAAAGCUUCUUUACAAGUGUGAUACAGAAAGUACCACAAAUACAGACAUGACCCGUGCUUUUUUAAAACAUCUUCAGAUAGAAAGCUUAUGAUUGCUAUUGUUUGAAAUGACAGUGACUGUCAGUACCAUAUAAUAUGUUAUUAUGUCUUGUCUCCUCCUCCUCCUCCACAAUAUUUUCUUACUACAGUAAUUCAAAGUACUUUGAUGUUCCCUUGCUUUUACUUACAACCCUCAGAUAGGUCACACUGAGUCUAUCUUUUCUUUUUUUCUCUUUUCUGUUUUUUUUUUCCUCGUACUAUUCUUGCAGUCUAAUGUUCCAACCAUUUACUUUGCUUAAAACAUUUCUUACCUGUCAGCUUAUUUAUUUCAUUUCUCCAAAUGCCAAGGUACCUGGGGAGGAAUUCACAAGCUUCUGACAUUCAGUAAAAACACUAUCAACCUUGAUGAUGUUUCUUUGAAACUACCAUCUUACCACAUUUGUUUUCCCAUCACGCUUGCAUGUACGAGUGCAUUUGUGUGUGCAGCUGCUGAGGUCAGAGAAGGGGAAAUAGAAUUAAGUAUCUCUGAAGAAGAAAUGGAAUUAAGUAUCUCCAGUCCCAAAUUUCUUAUCUAAAGGUAGUUGACUGAUACGAUGGCAAAGUAAAGGAUGCUAAGCAGGGUGUCAGAAUUGAAACUGCACUUCUUAGUGGCAACAGACAGAACAGGAUAUUUGUGGUGACCUUGGCCAAAAUGUGACUUCACUAACUUAGUGCCAUUCCUUACCACAGAUACUGGUCAUGGGUGUACCUAGAUGCAGGACAGGCUUCCAUAGGGAGGGGCAUUCAGCAACCUUAGUUAAAAGCCUGUGAUAUCUUUCAUCAAAGAGUUUAUUUAGUGAAAUUUAAGGUUUUAUUGGUAUCCAAACAAUUCCUUGCUCUGAGGUGAACUCAGGAUAUUUUAUACAAAAAAGAAAAAAGAACAAAAGAA
Molecule: non-coding RNA, 1676 nt
Organism: Coturnix japonica (Japanese quail)
Lineage: Eukaryota; Metazoa; Chordata; Aves; Galliformes; Phasianidae
Source: RefSeq, a predicted model, not a curated record